AGCGAACGUUAGCGGCGGGCUUAACACAUGCAAGUCGAGCGAGAAAGGGGCUUCGGCCCUGAGUACAGCGGCGGACGGGUGAAUAACACGUAGGUAACCUUCCUUUCAGCGGGGGACAACGGUCCGAAAGGACCGCUAAUACCGCAUACGUUCCCUGGGACCUCGGUCCCGGGGAGGAAAGGCCCGCAAGGGCCACUGGAUGAGGGGCCUGCGUAGCAUCAGCUAGUUGGUGGGGUAAUGGCCUACCAAGGCAAAGACGCUUAGCUGGUCUGAGAGGAUGAUCAGCCACACUGGAACUGAGACACGGUCCAGACUCCUACGGGAGGCAGCAGUGGGGAAUAUUGGACAAUGGGCGCAAGCCUGAUCCAGCCAUGCCGCGUGGGUGAAGAAGGCCUUCGGUUGUAAGCCUUUGUCCGGAAGAAAGACACGGGAUUAAUACCCUCGUGUGAUGACGGUACCGGAAGAAUAAGCACCGGCUAACUUCGUG
This 487-nucleotide ribosomal RNA is filed under the name uncultured bacterium. RNAcentral describes it as "bacterial SSU rRNA". It matches the Rfam family "Bacterial small subunit ribosomal RNA", at positions 29 to 507 of the family's 1533-position model. The record is from RNAcentral.